AGAGUUUGAUCCUGGCUCAGAAUGAACGCUGGCGGCGUGCUUAAGGCAUGCAAGUCGAACGAGAAAGUUCUCUUCGGAGGACAAGUACAGUGGCGCACGGGUGAGUACAACUUAGGUAACCUGCCCUUUUGCUGGGGACAACCAAGGGAAACUUUGGCUAAUACCGAAUACUCCAUCAAAAUCUAUGGAUCUUGAUGGGAAAGCCUUCGGGCGCGAAAGGAGGGGCCUAAGCCCCAUUAGCUUGUUGGUAGGGUAAUGGCCUACCAAGGCGACGAUGGGUAGCUGGUCUGAGAGGAUGAUCAGCCACACUGGAACUGAGAUACGGUCCAGACUCCUACGGGAGGCAGCAGCUGGGAAUUUUGCGCAAUGGGGGAAACCCUGACGCAGCAACGCCGCGUGAGUGAGGAAGGCCUUCGGGUUGUAAAACUCUUUUAGCAGGGAAGAAACAAAUGACGGUACCUGCAGAAAAAGCACCGGCUAACUCCGUGCCAGCAGCCGCGGUAAUA
RNAcentral lists this ribosomal RNA (506 nucleotides) under uncultured bacterium. RNAcentral's name for it is "bacterial SSU rRNA". It matches the Rfam family "Bacterial small subunit ribosomal RNA", at positions 8 to 525 of the family's 1533-position model. The record is from RNAcentral.